Non-coding RNA from Choiromyces venosus 120613-1, 74 nucleotides. Lineage: Eukaryota; Fungi; Ascomycota; Pezizomycetes; Pezizales; Tuberaceae. The record is from the annotation of a GenBank genome assembly.
AGUUUUGUGGUGUAGUUGGUUAUCACAUCGGUCUAACACACUAAUGGUCCCUGGUUUGAGCCUGGACAAAAUCA